RNAcentral lists this ribosomal RNA (468 nucleotides) under uncultured bacterium. RNAcentral's name for it is "partial 16S ribosomal RNA". It matches the Rfam family "Bacterial small subunit ribosomal RNA", at positions 28 to 507 of the family's 1533-position model. The record is from RNAcentral.
GAUGAACGCUGGCGGCGUGCUUAACACAUGCAAGUCGAACGGAAAGGCCCAAGCUUGCUUGGGUACUCGAGUGGCGAACGGGUGAGUAACACGUGGGUGAUCUGCCCUGCACUUCGGGAUAAGCCUGGGAAACUGGGUCUAAUACCGGAUAGGACGAUGGUUUGGAUGCCAUUGUGGAAAGUUUUUUCGGUGUGGGAUGAGCUCGCGGCCUAUCAGCUUGUUGGUGGGGUAAUGGCCUACCAAGGCGUCGACGGGUAGCCGGCCUGAGAGGGUGUACGGCCACUUUGGGCCUGAGAGACGGCCCAGACUCCUACGGGAGGCAGCAGUGGGGAAUAUGGCACAAUGGGCGAAAGCCUGAUGCAGCGACGCCGCGUGGGGGAUGACGGCCUUCGGGUUGUAAACUCCUUUCGCUAGGGACGAAGCGUUUUUGUGACGGUACCUGGAGAAGAAGCACCGGCUAACUACGCG